This 2717-nucleotide ribosomal RNA is filed under the name Funchalia villosa. RNAcentral describes it as "partial 28S ribosomal RNA". The stretch from base 1 to 2125 matches the Rfam family "Eukaryotic large subunit ribosomal RNA". Lineage: Eukaryota; Metazoa; Arthropoda; Malacostraca; Decapoda; Penaeidae. The record is from RNAcentral.
AGUAAGGGCGACCGAAACGGGAAGAGCCCAGCGCAAAGCCUCGCGUCCCUUGACCAGGGGCGCGAGGGGUGCUGCGUUCGGGAGAGGUCUUGCACGCGCUCUCGCGCCGCCUAAGUUGUGCAUGAAAGACUCCUAUACCCACGGAGGGUGUCAGGCCCGUGUGGCGGAACAGACCCCCUUCUCCUCGCUGACAAGGGGGAGGUUCGGGAGUGCGGAAUGGGCCUCUCCUUAGAGUCGGGUUGCCUGAAACUGCAACCUAAAGCAGGUGGUAAACUCCAUCUAAGGCUAAAUAUGACCACGAGACCGAUAGCGAACAAGUACCGUGAGGGAAAGUUGAAACAGAACCCUGUAGAGAGAGUUCAAGAGAACGUGAAACCGUUAAGAGCAUAAACGGGCGGAGAUUCGAAGAUCGAACUGGGGGGAUUCAGUUCGUCGGCUUGCCGGGAGACGGUAGCGGGUUAUUCGGCGGCCACGCGGUCCUUCUCCGGGCCCACCGGCCGCCGCGACUUCCCUUUCCUGAGGCCGAAUGGUCGAGGGUUUUCGGGGAGCGCGGCCCGCCGCCUACCCGUUGUCUGCGCCGACGGGCGAUCUUCCCCCUGUAGUAGAUCGCCGCGACGCGUUGGGGUUGGGUGUCUGAGGCCCGAGUUCUGGUAGGAACCGGCGACGCGCGUCCAGGAGUGUCUCGUGCAUUUCUGGGCGUCCAAGCGCGUUUGUCCGGGGAUCCCUCGGUGCCCUCGUCUUGCUCCCCCGACGGUCACUCCUCCGGGGCGUGGGGUGAGGAGCCGGUUGUUCUCAAUCGGCUUCUCCUCCGCUGCCUUCGCGGCGUGCAAAGAGUCGAUACUCCUCCCGACCCGUCUUGAAACACGGACCAAGGAGUCCAACAUGUAUGCGAGUCAAUGGGCGCACUAAACCCACAGGCGCAAUGAAAGUGACAAGCUUAAAAGGGGCCGAUCCCUCGGAGAGGGGCCGGCCGCAGCGCGCACCCCCGGACGGAGUGAUCUACUUUCCUCCCCGGGUCGAGCAGCGCCGCGGAGCUCCGGCCACCCCGCAAGCCUGCCCUCCAGUUUGCGCUGGAGUAAGCAGGGGGGCGCAGGUCCGGGACUCGCCAUGACGAACGGUCGUUUGCCUGAUUUGUCUUCGAUGAUGAUGGCUUCAGCGGCUGGAUGUGUCGGCGGGUACCCAGAGCAUAAAUGUUGGGACCCGAAAGAUAGUGAACUAUGCUUGGCCAGGAUGAAGCCAGGGGAAACCCUGGUGGAGGUCCGAAGCGUUUCUGACGUGCAAAUCGAUCGCCAGAGCUGAGCAUAGGGGCGAAAGACCAAUCGAACUAUCUAGUAGCUGGUUCCCUCCGAAGUUUCCCUCAGGAUAGCUGGCGCUCAAAGCAAAGAACGAGUUCCACCCGGUAAAGCGAAUGACUAGGGGUGUUGGGGACGAAAUGUCCUCAGCCCAUUCUCAAACUUUAAAUGGGUGAGGUGCCGGGCUUGCUUCGCUGAAGCCCCGGACGAGAAUCGGAGUGCCUAGUGGGCCAAUUUUGGUAAGCAGAACUGGCGCUGUGGGAUGAAGCUAACGUCGAGUUAAGGGGCCAAAGGGAAUGCGGUUUCCGAUCCCAUGGAAGGGAGUUGCUUGCUAUAGACAGCAGGACGGUGGCCAUGGAAGUUGGAAUCCGCUAAGGAGUGUGUAACAACUCACCUGCCGAAGCAAGUAACCCCGAAAAUGGCAUGGCGCUCAGGAAUCCUCCUAAUACUCGACCGCCGGGCGCACUAUGGGCUGCGACGAGGAGGUCUCGAGGCCCCGGCGAGUAGGAGGGCGCGGGGGUGAGCGUAUAAGGGUACGGCGUGAGCCGGCCUGGAGCCGCCACCGGUGCAGAUCUUGGUGGUAGUAGCAAAUGCUCGAGCAAGAUGAUGCUCUGACCCUCGUUGACCGAUGCGGAGGAGGGUUCCCCGCCAACAUCGCUUGGCCGUGGAUAAGUCGGACCUAAGCCCUAGGGUAGCUUCCCAUUCCAUGCCCCCGGAUAAAAAAAGCCACAAAACAUUUUUGGAGAUCAUCAUCGACGAGAACGACGAGCGGGACCCGUUUCUCUCCGUCCCCUCUUCCGAAGUCGAUAAUACCCACAAACAACUCCUCCCGUAAGAGGGCCAGCAAGCCAGCCGGCGGCGGCGGCGGCGGCGGCGGUCGAGGUAAGACGGACUGCAGUCGUGUAGUAGGGGUGGCCUCUUGCUGCUGCUGCUGCUGCAGCUGCUGCUGUUCUUUUUGGUGUGCCCUCCAGCCAACCGACCCACGGGGGUUGUUGUUGUUUGAACGAACGAUGCGCAAGACGACUACCAUAAUAGUAGUACGGGUGGCCUUCGUUUGUUCUUUUUGGUGUGCCCUCCAGCCAACCGACCCACGGGGGUUGUUGUUGUUUGAACGAACGAUGCGCAAGACGACUACCAUAAUAGUAGUACGGGUGGCCUUCGUUUGUGUUGUUUUGUGAAGGAUGAUGUCGGCACAGGCCCGGCCGGCCCCCACGACGGCGGUUGCGUGUUGUUGUCGCUCCGCAGCUGGGCUGGCUGCUGCUUGGUCGGCGGGGCCGGACGCACCGUUAGGGAGUCCGGUCUGCCUCAGCUGGUUGAUGCGCUGCUUACCUCCAUCCCAGCCUACGUUGACGUGAGGCAGCUGCUAAUUGGGUAUCUGCGAAUCGGAUUCCGAAUAGACAUACGCUUUGGCGGCACGGCCGAGUA